This 441-nucleotide ribosomal RNA is filed under the name uncultured Eubacteriales bacterium. Its description in RNAcentral is "bacterial SSU rRNA". It matches the Rfam family "Bacterial small subunit ribosomal RNA", at positions 338 to 796 of the family's 1533-position model. Lineage: Bacteria; Bacillati; Bacillota; Clostridia; Eubacteriales. The record is from RNAcentral.
CCUACGGGGGGCUGCAGUGGGGAAUAUUGGGCAAUGGGCGAAAGCCUGACCCAGCAACGCCGCGUGAAGGAAGAAGGUUUUCGGAUCGUAAACUUCUAUCCUUGGUGAAGAUAAUGACGGUAGCCAAGAAGGAAGCCCCGGCUAACUACGUGCCAGCAGCCGCGGUAAUACGUAGGGGGCAAGCGUUGUCCGGAAUGAUUGGGCGUAAAGGGCGCGUAGGCGGCCCGGUAAGUCUGGAGUGAAAGUCCUGCUUUUAAGGUGGGAAUUGCUUUGGAUACUGCUGGGCUUGAGUGCAGGAGAGGUAAGUGGAAUUCCCGGUGUAGCGGUGAAAUGCGUAGAGAUCGGGAGGAACACCAGUGGCGAAGGCGACUUACUGGACUGUAACUGACGCUGAGGCGCGAAAGUGUGGGGAGCAAACAGGAUUAGAUACCCCUGUAGUCG